ACUACGGGAGGCAGCAGUGAGGAAUAUUGGUCAAUGGGCGCGAGCCUGAACCAGCCAAGUAGCGUGAAGGAUGACUGCCCUACGGGUUGUAAACUUCUUUUAUAAAGGAAUAAAGUGAGGCACGUGUGCCUUUUUGUAUGUACUUUAUGAAUAAGGAUCGGCUAACUCCGUGCCAGCAGCCGCGGUAAUACGGAGGAUCCGAGCGUUAUCCGGAUUUAUUGAGUUUAAAGGGAGCGUAGAUGGGUUGGUAAGUCAGUUGUGAAAGUUUGCGGCUCAACCGUAAAAUUGCAAUUGAUACUGGCAGUCUUGAGUACAGUUGAGGUAGGCGGAAUUCGUGGUGUAGCGGUGAAAUGCUUAGAUAACACGAAGAACUCCGAUUGCGAAGACAGCUUACUAAACUGCCACUGACAUUGAUGCUCGAAAGUGUGGGUAUCAAACAGGAUUAGAUACCCGAGUAGUC
RNAcentral lists this ribosomal RNA (460 nucleotides) under uncultured bacterium. Its description in RNAcentral is "partial 16S ribosomal RNA". It matches the Rfam family "Bacterial small subunit ribosomal RNA", at positions 338 to 795 of the family's 1533-position model. The record is from RNAcentral.